UUCCAGACUCCUACGGGAGGCAGCAGUGGGGAAUAUUGCACAUGGGGGAAACCCUGAUGCAGCGACGCCGCGUGAGCGAUGAAGUAUUUCGGUAUGUAAAGCUCUAUCAGCAGGGAAGAAGAUGACGGUACCUGACUAAGAAGCCCCGGCUAACUACGUGCCAGCAGCCGCGGUAAUACGUAGGGGGCAAGCGUUAUCCGGAUUUACUGGGUGUAAAGGGAGCGUAGACGGCGAUGCAAGCCAGAUGUGAAAGCCCGGGGCUCAACCCCGGGACUGCUCUGGAAACUGUACGGCUGGAGUGCAGGAGAGGUAAGUGGAAUUCCUAGUGUAGCGGUGAAAUGCGUAGAUAUUAGGAGGAACACCAGUGGCGAAGGCGGCUUACUGGACUGUAACUGACGUUGAGGCUCGAAAGCGUGGGGAGCAAACAGGAUUAGAUACCCCUGUA
Molecule: ribosomal RNA, 445 nt
Filed under: uncultured bacterium
Lineage: Bacteria
Description: bacterial SSU rRNA
Rfam family: Bacterial small subunit ribosomal RNA
Source: RNAcentral